UCCUAGCGGUCCGAGUCGCAGCCAUCAUUAUUGGGUCUAAAAUAUCCGUAGCUUGCUGAAGAAGUUUCCUGUGAAAUCCGGCAUCUUAAGUGUCGGGCGAGCGGGAAAUACUCUUGAGCUAGAGACUGGAAGACGUAAGAAGUACGUUUGAAGUAGCGGUAAAAUGUGUUAAUCUCAGACGGACUAACAACAGCGAAGGCAUCUUACGAGGACAGUUCUGACAGUAAAGGAUGAAGGCUAGGGGC
Molecule: ribosomal RNA, 245 nt
Filed under: uncultured archaeon
Lineage: Archaea
Description: partial 16S ribosomal RNA
Rfam family: Archaeal small subunit ribosomal RNA
Source: RNAcentral